AUAGUCUCGUGCUCCUAUUGGAUGACGUAGUCUUCCAUAAUUGUUUUGGUAUCGUAGCAACGUGAUCGUGAUUUUUCGUUUAAAUUGCAGUAACACGAGGUUGUAUCAUCACAUUACGUUCUGUGGACUCUUGUAUAUUUGUUCCUGCAAAGAAAUACAAUUUCCGUUGGUCAGUUUACUUAAAGGAAACAUGAGGAUGGAUCAUACAGGAAGAGAAGAAUCCAGUUUGAGAGUGAAAUUGAAAUACUCGUGCACAUUUCCCGGGUGCAGGAGU
This is a long non-coding RNA of Schistocerca cancellata (South American locust), 274 nucleotides long. RefSeq lists it as uncharacterized. The transcript has 3 exons. The record is from RefSeq and is a predicted model, not a curated record. NCBI's taxonomy places the organism in Eukaryota, Metazoa, Arthropoda, Insecta, Orthoptera, Acrididae.